GUUCCUAGAUGCCAAGAAUGCUAAUAAUUUGAGGAUUAGAAGUAAUUCCCACUUACAUGGUAAAAAUUUCCAGUCAAAUCAUUAAUGCACGUGAAAGGGACACUCACUGAAAAAAUGUAUGUGGGACUGCAAGGGACUGCCAAAAAGCAUUCAGUUCUUCAAUCCAAGAAAAGCUCUUCCAUGGGCUCUCUGCAGAGGACAGGACACCAUCCUGGGAAUGGUGGGAACGUAGGACCAGUGGAACUCCACAGUUCCAGAGCUUCCUUGGUGCUCCCUGAAAUUUUCUAGUCUCCAGAUUGCUGUCUGUUGUGAUAUGUUCCUCCUGAUUGCUCCCCCAUUGUGCUGAGCAUCACCUCUCCUCCCACCAGCACCCGCAGUGGGAAGGACAAUGAUGAGCUGCAGCACUGUGGGGCACAAGAGGAUGGAGAUCUCAGUUUCUGGAGAGAUGUGGCAAAACCGAAAGACACUAGAAGGUGAUUUGUGUUGUGACACACUGAACUGUAUCUGUCCACUGCUGCGAUUACAAACAGAGGAGGCUUCUUUCUUCACAAGCGCCCAUGUUACCCUUGAGGUGAUCUGUAUGAUCCAUCCUACACCAUGUGUUAAAACGUGCAUGUUCGAGAAACAAAUGCCAGUCUUACUGAGGCAUUAGUCUCAGUUGCAUU
This is a long non-coding RNA of Pezoporus flaviventris, 665 nucleotides long. RefSeq lists it as uncharacterized. Lineage: Eukaryota; Metazoa; Chordata; Aves; Psittaciformes; Psittacidae. The record is from RefSeq and is a predicted model, not a curated record. The transcript is spliced from 4 exons.